CUCACUGUGGACUCAAUGUGGGCUCUAUCUCGAGGCGUCAAAUCCUAACAAUCUCCACCUCGACUCGAUAUUCGGCCUCCUCCAAACUUUGAGAGCUUUUGGAUCUCCUCGCCCCCAUGUCCUGGGGCAAUCGCCUGCUGAUCAUGGAUGGGCAAACAUGGGAGUCGAGCCAGGCUGCUCGAUCCCAUCUCCGUCGUAUGCUGUGCUCCUCCUAACCUGAGACCUGCUCGGGGCAUCAUCCUGCGGCAAUAGGAAUCUCACCUUGCGACGUCGCCUCUCGUCCUCCCGAGUCUCCUGUCUCGUACCCGAUCCGCCUCCUGGAGCUCCACCUCGCUCCGGGCUCCGCCUGGCUCUCGAAGCUCCACCUCGCACUGGGCUUCUUGUCAGGUAAUAAUGUCCUCUACUCCCCUUCUUCCCCUCCAGCACAAUCCUAUCGCCGCGUAGCACCCUCAGGAUUCCUCCACCAGCUACCGUCCUGUAGCCUCUCGAAUCCAAU
RNAcentral lists this long non-coding RNA (496 nucleotides) under Elaeis guineensis (African oil palm). RNAcentral describes it as "long non-coding RNA (EGUI_LNC024272)". Lineage: Eukaryota; Viridiplantae; Streptophyta; Magnoliopsida; Arecales; Arecaceae. The record is from RNAcentral.